GGGGUAGUAAAGGUUUCGACAGGGAACUUGAAGAUGGAGAAGCAGGUCGCAGGUAUGCGUCAAUUCCAAAAUUAAAAUUAAACGCUGAAGAUAAUUUAGCAUUUGCAGCCUAAUGGCUGCUGUCUGACCUAGUGCACCUACACAUUAGGAUCCAGGCAUCGAUUAUGUGGGAAACGACACAUACAAAGCUUUGCGUAUGUGGGCGUAUUAUGAAGCUACUGACUGUUUAGGGGAGUUGAUUCGCCUAUGCAGAAGGGAAAUGGGCUCUGCCCGAAACAAUCAACUAAACCUGUAGAAGUACAUGGGAUGGUUUUUUGGACACGGGUUCGACUCCCGUCUACUCCACUA
This 348-nucleotide transfer-messenger RNA is filed under the name Lachnospiraceae bacterium. It matches the Rfam family "transfer-messenger RNA". From Rfam's summary of the family: Bacterial tmRNA, also known as 10Sa RNA or SsrA, is named for its dual tRNA and mRNA-like properties. Its role is to liberate the mRNA from a stalled ribosome. Lineage: Bacteria; Bacillati; Bacillota; Clostridia; Lachnospirales; Lachnospiraceae. The record is from RNAcentral.